Molecule: long non-coding RNA, 469 nt
Filed under: Triticum aestivum (bread wheat)
Lineage: Eukaryota; Viridiplantae; Streptophyta; Magnoliopsida; Poales; Poaceae
Description: long non-coding RNA (TAES_LNC008349)
Source: RNAcentral
ACUCUUAGUAGCUGCCUCACAAGAAACAGUUAAGCUUUAUAUAAAACAGGAAGAUUUCAUAUAUAAUCUGGAGCAUUUGAUCACAUAUAAGCCAUGAAAAGAAAUUAGUGAAAGUGGAUAUUAGGGGUUUGCCUGGAAUCCUUAUGUUGCAUAAGUAGUGAGCGGGGCUGUCCGUUGAGAUGGUCAGGAUCUCUUCGCACCCCCGUUGAACGCCGAUGAGGCAGACGAACCAUCGAAGACUCCCUGCCAAGUAUGAAUUUUGACUGACCGAAUGUGGUGGCAUAUAGAUAAUAACUUGAAAGGGGUUGGGAUGGUUUACCUCUUGAUUUGGGAUGGAAUGGUGAGGAAAGAAAGGAGAGUGGGGGACACAAGAGAGAAACAAAGGAGUUGUUACCUGUCGAUAAGGGGUAGGCUUGUGAUUCUACUCACUGACUGAUGGUAUUGUCCUCGAUCAUUGCCCAUAGAUGUG